GUGGGAGGGGGCUUGCCCCCGAUUGCGGUGGGUCAGUCAGUACAUGCAUUGACUGAUACAGCGCAAUCGGGGGCAAGCCCCCUCCCAC
This 88-nucleotide unclassified non-coding RNA is filed under the name Pseudomonas marginalis. Lineage: Bacteria; Pseudomonadati; Pseudomonadota; Gammaproteobacteria; Pseudomonadales; Pseudomonadaceae. The record is from RNAcentral.